Molecule: ribosomal RNA, 476 nt
Filed under: uncultured bacterium
Lineage: Bacteria
Description: bacterial SSU rRNA
Rfam family: Bacterial small subunit ribosomal RNA
Source: RNAcentral
UGCGCACUCCUACGGGAGGCAGCAGUAGGGAAUCUUCGGCAAUGGGCGAAAGCCUGACGGAGCAACGCCGCGUGAGUGAAGAAGGAUUUCGGUUCGUAAAGCUCUGUUGUUAGGGAAGAAUGGAUAUGUAGUAACUAUACAUAUAAGAGACGGUACCUAACCAGAAAGCCACGGCUAACUACGUGCCAGCAGCCGCGGUAAUACGUAGGUGGCAAGCGUUGUCCGGAAUUAUUGGGCGUAAAGCGCGCGCAGGUGGUUUAAUAAGUCUGAUGUGAAAGCCCACGGCUCAACCGAUGAGGGUCAUUGGAACCUGUUAAACUUGAGUGAAGGAGAGAAAAGUGGAAUUCCUAGUGUAGCGGUGAAAUGCGUAGAGAUUAGGAGGAACACCAGUGGCGAAGGCGGCUUUUUGGCCUGUAACUGACACUGAGGCGCGAAAGCGUGGGGAGCAAACAGGAUUAGAUACCCUUGUAGUCCGA